Molecule: ribosomal RNA, 511 nt
Filed under: uncultured bacterium
Lineage: Bacteria
Description: bacterial SSU rRNA
Rfam family: Bacterial small subunit ribosomal RNA
Source: RNAcentral
AGGGUUCGAUCUGGCUCAGGAUGAACGCUGGCGGCGUGCUUAACACAUGCAAGUCGAACGAAGCAUAGUGAAUGAAGUUUCGGAUGGAUUUCACUUUGACUUAGUGGCGGACGGGUGAGUAACGCGUGGGCAACCUGCCCUUAACCGGGGGACAACAGUUGGAAACGACUGCUAAUACCGCAUAAGCGCACGUGACCGCAUGGUCGAGUGUGAAAAAAUUCCGGUGGUUAAGGAUGGGCCCGCGUUGGAUUAGGUAGUUGGUGAGGUAACGGCCCACCAAGCCGACGAUCCAUAGCCGACCUGAGAGGGUGACCGGCCACAUUGGGACUGAGACACGGCCCAGACUCCUACGGGAGGCAGCAGUGGGGAAUAUUGCACAAUGGGGGAAACCCUGAUGCAGCGAACCGCCGCGUGAGUGAAGAAGUAUUUCGGUAUGCAAAGCUCUAUCAGCAGGGAAGAAAAUGACGGUACCUGCACAAGAAGCCCCGGCUAACUACGUGCCAGCAGCAGC